This 520-nucleotide ribosomal RNA is filed under the name uncultured Glomus. RNAcentral's name for it is "SSU rRNA". It matches the Rfam family "Eukaryotic small subunit ribosomal RNA", at positions 569 to 1092 of the family's 1831-position model. The record is from RNAcentral. Lineage: Eukaryota; Fungi; Glomeromycota; Glomeromycetes; Glomerales; Glomeraceae.
AGCAGCCGCGGUAAUUCCAGCUCCAAUAGCGUAUAUUAAAGUUGUUGCAGUUAAAAAGCUCGUAGUUGAAUUUCGGGGUCAGUAGGUCGGUCGUGCCACAGGUAUGCACUGGUCUCACUGAUUCCUCCUUCCUGAUGAACCGUAAUGCCAUUAAUUUGGUGUUGCGGGGAGACUGGACUGUUACUUUGAAAAAAUUAGAGUGUUUAAAGCAGGCUAACGCUUGAAUACAUUAGCAUGGAAUAAUGAAAUAGGACGUUUGAUUCUAUUUUGUUGGUUUCUAGGAUCGACGUAAUGAUUAAUAGGGAUAGUUGGGGGCAUUAGUAUUCAAUUGUCAGAGGUGAAAUUCUUGGAUUUAUUGAAGACUAACUACUGCGAAAGCAUUUGCCAAGGAUGUUUUCAUUAAUCAAGAACGAAAGUUAGGGGAUCGAAGACGAUCAGAUACCGUCGUAGUCUUAACCAUAAACUAUGCCGACUAGGGAUCGGAUGAUGUAAUUUUUAAUGACUCAUUCGGCGCCUUACG